This is a long non-coding RNA of Sorex araneus (European shrew), 1850 nucleotides long. RefSeq lists it as uncharacterized. The transcript is spliced from 4 exons. The record is from RefSeq and is a predicted model, not a curated record. Lineage: Eukaryota; Metazoa; Chordata; Mammalia; Eulipotyphla; Soricidae.
AGGGCACAGUUGUAAUAAUAUUUGAGUAGUAAAAAGAUCAGUACAGGAGCAGAGGAAAGAAGACGCAAGGAGGAAGUCAUUUCAAGGUAAUGGACCACAGGGAGAAGACCGAAAAAUAUAAUCUGUGCUGCCAUAGUAGAAUACCACAGACCAGGUGAUUGAAAGAAACAGAAACUCCUUUCUCGGGUUUGGAGACUGGGAAGUCCAGGAUCCAAGUGCUGACGGAUCUGUUGAGGGCUUCCUGACUCACUGAUGACAGCCUUGGUGCUUCCUUCCACGGUGGAAAGGAAAGGCUGGACCAGUCAGCAUUCCCACCAACAGUGAAGGAGCGUCCCUUUUCCACCACAUCCAUGCCAGCAUAGAUUCCGUCUGUACUCAAGACCAGGCAGAGAUAUUGGGAGACGAAGAGCAUCAUAAAAUGAAGAGCGUCAUAAAACCAAGAUCUGAAAACCACAAGUUACAUUUUAGUUUCUGAAAACUUUAAAACUUAAAAAAAAACAACCAACCAUUUUCAGUGACACAGGCUCAGAUGAGACUCAUCCAUGAGAGAAUCUGCUGAAAAACCCAGGUAGGUGGAACUUGUGACUAAAAUCUCCAGGCUCACACAGAGUCAGGAAAAGGCCAACUACUCCAAUCUCCCUGUGCUUCCAGUAGCCUGGCAGUCACACCCAGGAACUGCCUCUGGCGCCAUGUCAACUCAUAAUUUGCCACGAUCCAGAAACUCACAAAUAAAUCUCUCUGAAGGAAGCAACACAGAGCAACAUGCCACAGAGAUGCCAUGCCUCCAGAUCCCACGCCAGGCUGUCUCACCUGGAGUGGGGGCAGAUGAGUCCUGCCACCUACCCCGUCAGACUGUCAGCUGAAAACCUACAGAACUCUAUUGCUGCCGUGCUCACAGCUGAAUUCCUGGAGUGUGUGGUUGCAUUUGUGGCGGCAUGACAUCUCAUACUCUCAUUUGAUAUAGCACUGAUAUAUCAAAACAAGGACUUAGUGGCUCCAGGAUGGAAUACAAGAAUCUUCACACACUUUCCUCUAGAGGAAAUUUUUAGAUCAUUUUUAGCAGAUUAUUCAUAAUAAGAAUUACCAAAAAAUUACUUAGGUCCUGCUUUAGGGCAGGCUUUGGGGGUGUUAGGUGGAAAUAUUAGAAAUAUGGUGGUGGGAAGGUGUAUCGGUGGUGGGAUUGAUGUUGAAAUAUUAAAUGUAAUAAAUCAUUGUGAACAAAAGCACUUUUCACAUACUAUGAGAGAUAAACUUUUGUUAUAGGUUAAUAACUUCCUUCUACCUGGUUUGGCAAGAAUAAACAGCUGGUAGAGCACUUGCCUUGCACAUGGUGGAUCCUGGUUUAGUCCCUAGCAUCCCAUGAGUAAGCCCUGAGUACCAUCAUGGCCCAAAAAGCAUUCUCAGAUUUAGUAAAUAUGAAGCAAGUCAAAUUUUGUUUAAUUAUCCUGUGAUUAGCAGAUUCAGGAACAAAGAGAUAUAUGUAUCAUUUGAUAAAUCAGGUCACAGAAGUAUAGAUGGAUUUCAAUUGUCUUUCAGUGUCUCUUCUCUUUACCUCCCCUCCUCUCCCAUCUCUUCUUCUCUUUCUUCUGUUUUUGAACCAUAUCCGACUGAGUUUAGGGCCUACUCCUGGCUCUGUGCUCAUGGAUAUUCAAUGCCUGGAAUUGAAUUGGGUGUCAAAGUUAAACACAUUUACCUAUGUACUAUCUUUCUGGCUCAAGUGUCUCACUUUUCUAACAAAUUAAAUUUAAGUUCCCUAAAUUUUUUAGAACCUGUGUGUAAUUUUAGCUGGACUUUUAAUAGUAUACAUCUAUGCUAUAAUUGUUUAGAAGAAAAUAUUCAAAGAGGGUUUC